This 92-nucleotide non-coding RNA is filed under the name Actinomyces sp. RNAcentral's name for it is "SAM-I sequence". It matches the Rfam family "SAM riboswitch aptamer (S box leader)". From Rfam's summary of the family: The SAM riboswitch is found upstream of a number of genes which code for proteins involved in methionine or cysteine biosynthesis in Gram-positive bacteria. The SAM riboswitch acts at the level of transcription termination control. The record is from RNAcentral. RNAcentral also lists the same sequence under 1 other name. Lineage: Bacteria; Bacillati; Actinomycetota; Actinomycetes; Actinomycetales; Actinomycetaceae.
UAACCAUCCAGAGCAGCGAAGAGACUUGGCUCGAUGAAGCUGCAGCAACCCCCGGUUAACGGUGAGGGUGCUUCCGCCAAGAUCGAUGGAGG